AGCUCGAUUAUGUCGAUUGAACGCUGGCGGGAUGCUUUACACAUGCAAGUCGAACGGCAGCACGGACUUCGGUCUGGUAGCAGAGGCGGUGAACGGGUGAGCAGAAUAAUGGAACGUGCCUAGUAGCGGGGAGAAUUAGAUGGUGCUGCAGCUAAUACCGCACACGCCCUCUGGGGAAAGCGGGGGACCUUCGGAAGCCCUUGCACCAUUAGAGCGGCCGAUAUCGGAUUAGCUAGUUGCGGGGUAACGGCUCAAGGCGACGAUCCGUAGCUGGUCGAGAGGAUAUAACCAGCCACACUGGGACUGAGACACGGCCCAGACUCCCGGCGGGAGGCAGCAGUGGGGAAUUUUGGACAAUGGGGAAACCCUGAUCCAGCUAUCCCGCGUGUGCGAUGAAGGCCUUCAAGGAAGCACUUUGGCAGGAAAGAAACGGCGCACGGGAUAAUACCCGUGCAACUGACGGCACCGCAGAAUAAGCACCGGCUAACUACGUGCCAGCAGCCGCGGUAAUACGUAGGGGUGUAGCGUUAAUCGGAAUUACUAGGCGUAAAGCGUGCGCAGGCGGUUCGGAAAGAAAGAUGUGAAAUCCCAGAGCUUAACUUUGGAACUGCAUUUUUGAACUACCGAGCUAGAUGUACGAGGAGUGUGGAAUUCCGCGUGUAGCAGAAAUGCGUAGAUAUGCGGAGGAACACCGAUGUAGAAGGCAGCCUCCUGGGAUAACACUGACGCUCAUGCACGAAAGCGUGGGAGCAAAGCAGGAUUAGAUACUCCUGGUAGUCCACGCUCGCAAACGAUGUCAACUAGCUGUUGGGGCCUUCUGGCCUCGGUAGCGCAGCUAACGCGUGAAGUUGACCGCCCGGGAGUACGGUCGCAAGAUUAAAACUCAAAGGAAUUGAUUGGGACUCCGCACAAGCGGUGGAUGAUGUGGAUUAAUUCGAUGCAACGCGAAAACCUUACCUACCCUUGACAUGUCUGGAAUCCUGAAGAGAUUUGGGAGUGCUCGCAAGAGAACCGGAACAGGUGCCGGGGUAUGGCUGUCGUCAGCUCGUGUCGUGAGAUGUUGGGUUAAGUCCCCAAACGAGCGCAACCCUUGUCAUUAGUUGCUACGAAAGGGCACUCUAAUGAGACUGCCGGUGACAACCGAUAGAAGGUGGGGAUGACGUCAAGUCCGCGGCUCCCAGGUAGGGCUUCACACGUCAUACAAUGGUCGGGACAGAGGGUUUUAAACCGCGAGGGGGAGCUAAUCCCAGAAACCCGAUCAGUCCGGAUCGUACAGUCUGCAACUCGACUGCGUGAAGUCGGAAUCGCUAUGGGUAAUCGCGGAUCAGUAUGUCGCGGUGAAUACGUUCCCGGAGUCUUGUACACACCGCCCGUCACACCAUGGGAGUGGGUUUUACCAGAAGUAGUUAGCCUAACCGUAAGGAGGGCGAUUACCACGGUAGGAUUCAUGAUCAGUGAAGUCGUAACAAAGGUAA
RNAcentral lists this ribosomal RNA (1475 nucleotides) under uncultured Bordetella sp. Its description in RNAcentral is "partial 16S-23S ribosomal RNA intergenic spacer". It matches the Rfam family "Bacterial small subunit ribosomal RNA". The record is from RNAcentral. Lineage: Bacteria; Pseudomonadati; Pseudomonadota; Betaproteobacteria; Burkholderiales; Alcaligenaceae.